UACGUAGGGGCAAGCGUUAUCCGGAUUUACUGGGUGUAAAGGGAGCGCAGACGGAACUGCAAGUCUGAUGUGAAAGCCCGGGGCUCAACCGCGGGACUGCAUCGGAUACUGUGGAUCUGGAGUGCCGGAGGGGCAAGCGGAAUUCCUGGUGUAGCGGUGAAAUGCGUAGAGAUCGGGAGGAAUACCAGUGGCGAAGGCGGCCUUCUGGACUGACACUGACGCUGAGGUGCGAAAGCGUGGGUAGCAAACAGGAUUAGAUA
This 260-nucleotide ribosomal RNA is filed under the name uncultured prokaryote. RNAcentral's name for it is "partial 16S ribosomal RNA". It matches the Rfam family "Bacterial small subunit ribosomal RNA", at positions 524 to 784 of the family's 1533-position model. The record is from RNAcentral.